GAUGAAGAACGUAGCGAAAUGCGAUACUUGGUGUGAAUUGCAGAAUCCCGUGAACCAUCGAGUCUUUGAACGCAAGUUGCGCCCGAAGCCAUUAGGCCGAGGGCACGCCUGCCUGGGCGUCACACGUCGUUGCCCCCCCAUCUACUCCUUCGGGAUUGCGGGGGGCGGAUGAUGGCCUCUCGUGCGCCUCGUCGCGCGGUUGGCCUAAAUGCCAAGUCCUCGGCGACGCACGCCACGACAAUCGGUGGUUGCGAAACCUCGGUUGCCUGUCGUGUGCGGUCGUCGCGCAUCGAGGGCUCGAAAAAAUUGCCGGGCUUCGGCUCGACUUUCAACGCGACCCCAGGUCAGGCGGGGUUACCCGCUGAAUUUAAGCAUAUCAUAAGCGGAGG
Molecule: unclassified non-coding RNA, 389 nt
Filed under: soil metagenome
Description: partial contains 5.8S ribosomal RNA, internal transcribed spacer 2, and large subunit ribosomal RNA
Rfam family: 5.8S ribosomal RNA (bases 1-122)
Source: RNAcentral